CCUACGGGUGGCUGCAGUCGAGAAUAUUCCGCAAUGCACGAAAGUGUGACGGAGCGACGCCGCGUGUCGAAAGAAGGCCUUCGGGUCGUAAACGACUUUUAUCAGGGACGAAUUUUGACGGUACCUGAAGAAUAAGGGGUUGCUAACUCUGUGCCAGCAGCAGCGGUAAUACAGAGACCCCGAGCAUUAUCCGGAUUUAUUGGGCGUAAAGCGUUCGUAGGUGGUUUCGUAAGUCAUUUGUUAAAUCUUCAGGCUUAACCUGGAGGCUGCAGGUGAUACUGCGAGGCUAGAGUAUGGGAGAGGCAGACGGAAUGCCCGGUGUAGCGGUAAAAUGCGUUAAUAUCGGGUAGAACACCAAAGGCGAAAGCAGUCUGCUGGAACAUUACUGACACUGAGGAACGAAAGCGUGGGUAGCGAAAGGGAUUAGAUACCCCUGUAGU
Molecule: ribosomal RNA, 440 nt
Filed under: uncultured bacterium
Lineage: Bacteria
Description: bacterial SSU rRNA
Rfam family: Bacterial small subunit ribosomal RNA
Source: RNAcentral